UUCCGGUGGCCAUUUUAGGAAUUGGAAGGCCGUGAGGAAAGUUGCCUGAGCUGACUCCCGCUCUUCGUGGCCGCCGCAGUAACCCUGGUGUCUUACCUAACUUCAGACUGCACCUGUAGUUCAAUCCUCGUCCUUUCCCCACGUUCCUUCGACGUGUUUAACUUUUGCUCGCCGGCCUCAGCCUUCACGUGGUCGCACGUCAGCCACUCAGGGCGAAGACAGCGAGAUUGUGAACAUUGCUGGCAAGGGCAACAUUUAUGUGUCCAUCUCUAAUUGCUCCAGAGAGAAGUGCCACAUUAACAGUCUUCCAGUGCUCUGGUACCAGUCAAAGAGGACUAGAAAUGAAGCUGAUGGAGGUGUUAUCAAGAACAUUUCCAAAUUCAAUGAUAAUGCUGAUGGUAAGCAAGAUCAAGGUGAUGCAGCUUCAGAACAAUCAUAUGAACAGUUCUGCCACCAUCUGCUCUGACUGAAUGGGCUGAACACUGAACACACCUGUACAAGCCUUUCUAGAACCACCAGCUGGAUACAUGGCACUGCUGGGCCUGUCCCUGUGAGGAGGCAGCAACAUCAUAAUGUCCCUGGUGUUACACUUGGACCACACAUCAAUGAUCAACAAUAUCGUAAAGCAGGGAUAGCCAUGCUUUGGACACUGGAGGCUGGAUAUAUGUCAGAACCAAUGAGUGGGCUACAUAUAAUUACAAAGAAAUGUGAGGAGAAAAGAUGGAACAUAACAAAGUCAGCUUGUGCCAGCUGCUGCACAUUGCAUAGAUACAAGUGUGAAAAGACAAGAAUCUAAUAUAGGAGGCAAGAGACAGCUCAC
Molecule: long non-coding RNA, 820 nt
Organism: Pristis pectinata (smalltooth sawfish)
Lineage: Eukaryota; Metazoa; Chordata; Chondrichthyes; Rhinopristiformes; Pristidae
Exons: 7
Source: RefSeq, a predicted model, not a curated record